RNAcentral lists this ribosomal RNA (497 nucleotides) under uncultured bacterium. RNAcentral's name for it is "partial 16S ribosomal RNA". It matches the Rfam family "Bacterial small subunit ribosomal RNA", at positions 28 to 507 of the family's 1533-position model. The record is from RNAcentral.
GAUGAACGCUGGCGGCGUGCCUAAUACAUGCAAGUCGAGCGAACGGACGAGAAGCUUGCUUCUCUGAUGUUAGCGGCGGACGGGUGAGUAACACGUGGAUAACCUACCUAUAAGACUGGGAUAACUUCGGGAAACCGGAGCUAAUACCGGAUGAUAUUUUGAACCGCAUGGUUCAAAAGUGAAAGACGGUCUUGCUGUCACUUAUAGAUGGAUCCGCGCUGCAUUAGCUAGUUGGUAAGGUAACGGCUUACCAAGGCAACGAUGCAUAGCCGACCCGAGAGGGUGGUCGGCCACACUGGAACUGAGACACAGUCCAGACUCCUACGGGAGGCAGCAGUAGGGAAUCUUCCGCAAUGGACGAGAGGCUGAUGGAGCAACGCCGCGUGAAUGAUGAAGGUCUACGGAUCGUAAAGCUCUGUUAUUAGGGAAGAACAUAUGUGUAAGUAACUGUGCACAUCUUGACGGUACCUGAUCAGAAAGCCACGGCUAACUACGUG